GGGGCAGCUACCAUGCAGUCGAGCGGAUGAGGGAGCUUGCUCCUGGAUUCAUCGGCGGACGGGUGAGUAAUGCCUAGGAAUCUGCCUGGUAGUGGGGGAUGACGUCCGGAAACGGGCGCUAAUACCGCAUACGUUCUGAGGGAGAAAGUGGGGGAUCUUCGGACCUCACGCUAUCGCAUGAGCCUAGGUCGGAUUAGCUAGUUGGUGGGGUAAAGGCCUACCAUCGCGACGAUCCGUAACUGGUCUGAGAGGAUGAUCAGUCACACUGGAACUGAGACACGGUCCAGACUCCUACGGGAGGCAGCAGUGGGGAGUAUUGGACAAUGGGGGAAAGCCUGAUCCAGACAUGCCGCGUGUGUGAAGAAGGUCUUCGGAUUGUAAAGCACUUUAAGUUGGGAGGAAGGGCAGUAAGUUAAUACCUUGCUGUUUUGACGUUACCAACAGAAUAAGCACCGGCUAACUUCGUGCCAGCAGCCGCGGUAAUACGAAGGGUGCAAGCGUUAAUCGGAAUUACUGGGCGUAAAGCGCGCGUAGGUGGUUCAGCAAGUUGGAUGUGAAAUCCCCCGGGCUCAACCUGGGAACUGCAUCCAAAACUACUGAGCUAGAGUACGGUAGAAGGGUGGUGGAAUUUCCAUGUGUAGCGGUGAAAUGCGUAGAUAUAGGAAGGAACACCAGUGGCGAAGGCGACCACCUGGACUGAUACUGACACUGAGGUGCGAAGGCGUGGGGAGCAAACAGGAUUAGAUACCCUGGUAGUCCACGCCGUAAACGAUGUCGACUAGCCGUUGGGAUCCUUGAGAUCUUAGUGGCGCAGCUACCGCGAUAAGUCGACCGCCUGGGGAGUACGGCCGCAAGGUUAAAACUCAAAUGAAUUGACGGGGGCCCGCACAAGCGGUGGAGCAUGUGGUUUAAUUCGAAGCAACGCGAAGAACCUUACCUGGCCUUGACAUGCUGAGAACUUUCCAGAGUGGAUUGGUGCCUUCGGGAACUCAGACACAGGUGCUGCAUGGCUGUCGUCA
Molecule: ribosomal RNA, 1019 nt
Filed under: uncultured Pseudomonas sp.
Lineage: Bacteria; Pseudomonadati; Pseudomonadota; Gammaproteobacteria; Pseudomonadales; Pseudomonadaceae
Description: bacterial SSU rRNA
Rfam family: Bacterial small subunit ribosomal RNA
Source: RNAcentral